CCUACGGGAGGCAGCAGUGAGGAAUAUUGGUCAAUGGGCGCAAGCCUGAACCAGCCAAGUAGCGUGCAGGAUGACGGCCCUAUGGGUUGUAAACUGCUUUUAUGCGGGGAUAAAGUGAGGGACGUGUCCCUCAUUGCAGGUACCGCAUGAAUAAGGACCGGCUAAUUCCGUGCCAGCAGCCGCGGUAAU
RNAcentral lists this ribosomal RNA (189 nucleotides) under uncultured bacterium. Its description in RNAcentral is "partial 16S ribosomal RNA". It matches the Rfam family "Bacterial small subunit ribosomal RNA", at positions 338 to 524 of the family's 1533-position model. The record is from RNAcentral.